Molecule: long non-coding RNA, 502 nt
Filed under: Bos taurus (domestic cattle)
Lineage: Eukaryota; Metazoa; Chordata; Mammalia; Artiodactyla; Bovidae
Description: long non-coding RNA NONBTAT013538
Source: RNAcentral
GCAGCUUAAAUUUUUGAAAAAGUCAUAAACCACCAUAUGUACAAGCAGUGCUAAAUAGUUAAAAAUUUAUAUGACUUCAAAUAUAGGUUAAAAGGGAAUCAUUUUCAAAACUUUUACAUGCAAUUGGAAUCUCUUAAAAAACAGAAUAGAAGGUAGAAGUGCCCAAGUCUAAGUGUAUCUUCAUUCACACGAAAAUACAAUAUGAGGCAUAUCAAGAGCAUAGAGAACAUUUUAGGGUGAACUCACAGAACAAAAAAAGAGUUUCUAAAGCAACUGUCUCCAAAUAGAUGACCAAAAACAAGGAAACGAACAAAUAUGAUUUAAAGCACAUGCGUGUGGCACAGUAAGAAUUACUGGAAAGAGAUUAGACAUGAUUAGAGAAAGACAGUCUUACAGUGAAUGAAAUCAAAUAUUUGAUUAUAUAUCCUUCACAUGGAAUUAUUUUGCUCUCCACUUGGAGUAUGUCGUUUUAUUAAUGAUUUUCUAAAAGCAGGAAUGCCUC